AUGGUACAACAGAAAGCCAGAGAAAUGGCAAAACAUUUGCAUGUGUUAUGUGUAAUCACCUGUACUAGAAUUAGAACAGAGGACAACUUUUACACUACAGUACUAGCAGGUGAUCACAAUCUUCUUCUUCUAAUUCUUGGACUUUGGUGGUGGUUUAGGCUUCUUGUUGGUUUUGAAAAGAGAAGAAAGGAAUUGGACUAA
RNAcentral lists this long non-coding RNA (201 nucleotides) under Prunus dulcis (almond). RNAcentral describes it as "sRNA ncRNA". The record is from RNAcentral. Lineage: Eukaryota; Viridiplantae; Streptophyta; Magnoliopsida; Rosales; Rosaceae.